CAAUAGCGUAUAUUAAAGUUGUUGCAGUUAAAAAGCUCGUAGUUGGAUUUCUGGUCGGAAGCUCCUGUCCUCUGAUGAGCGUACAAGUGCGUCCUACCAUCCUUCUGUUAACCUUUAAGGCUUUCGCGGCUUUCUAGGGGCUCAGAUAUUUUACCUUGAGAAAAUUAGAGUGUUUCAGGCAGGCUAGCGCCGGAAUACAUUAGCAUGGAAUAAUGGAAUAGGACUUUUGCCUCUUCUGUUGGUCAUGAGGCUCGAGUAAUGAUUAAUAGGGAUAGUUGGGUGCAUUAGUACUUAACUGUCAGAGGUGAAAUUCUCGGAUUUGUUAAAGACUAACUUAUGCGAAAGCAUUUGCCAAGGAUGUUUUCAUUAA
This 370-nucleotide ribosomal RNA is filed under the name uncultured eukaryote. Its description in RNAcentral is "partial 18S ribosomal RNA". It matches the Rfam family "Eukaryotic small subunit ribosomal RNA", at positions 592 to 976 of the family's 1831-position model. The record is from RNAcentral.